AUUGAACGCUGGCGGAAUGCUUUACACAUGCAAGUCGAACGGCAGCACGGGGGCAACCCUGGUGGCGAGUGGCGAACGGGUGAGUAAUACAUCGGAACGUGCCUGGUCGUGGGGGAUAACGUAGCGAAAGUUACGCUAAUACCGCAUACGAUCUGAGGAUGAAAGCGGGGGACCUUCGGGCCUCGCGCGAUCGGAGCGGCCGAUGGCAGAUUAGGUAGUUGGUGGGGUAAAGGCCUACCAAGCCGACGAUCUGUAGCUGGUCUGAGAGGACGACCAGCCACACUGGGACUGAGACACGGCCCAGACUCCUACGGGAGGCAGCAGUGGGGAAGUUUGGACAAUGGGCGCAAGCCUGAUCCAGCCAUUCCGCGUGCAGGACGAAGGCCUUCGGGUUGUAAACUGCUUUUGUAUGGAACGAAAAGGCUCUGGCUAAUACCUGGGGCUCAUGACGGUACCGUAAGAAUAAGCACCGGCUAACUACGUG
This 484-nucleotide ribosomal RNA is filed under the name uncultured bacterium. RNAcentral's name for it is "partial 16S ribosomal RNA". It matches the Rfam family "Bacterial small subunit ribosomal RNA", at positions 30 to 507 of the family's 1533-position model. The record is from RNAcentral.